CCUACGGGUGGCAGCAGUGAGGAAUAUUGGUCAAUGGGCGUAAGCCUGAACCAGCCAAGUCGCGUGAGGGAUGAAGGUUCUAUGGAUCGUAAACCUCUUUUAUAGGGGCAUAAAGUGUGGGACGUGUCCUAUUUUGUAUGUACCUUAUGAAUAAGGAUCGGCUAACUCCGUGCCAGCAGCCGCGGUAAUACGGAGGAUCCGAGCGUUAUCCGGAUUUAUUGGUUUUAAAGGGUGCGUAGGCGGCCUUUUAAUUCAGCGGUGAAAGUCUGUGGCUCAACCAUAGAAUUGCCGUUGAAACUGGGGGUCUUGAGUAUGUUUGAGGCAGGCGGAAUGCGUGGUGUAGCGGUGAAAUGCUUAGAUAUCACGCAGAACCCCGAUUGCGAGGGCAGCCUGACAAGCCAUGACUGACGCUGAUGCACGAAAGCGUGGGGAUCAAACAGGAUUAGAUACCCUGGUAGUC
This 460-nucleotide ribosomal RNA is filed under the name uncultured bacterium. RNAcentral's name for it is "partial 16S ribosomal RNA". It matches the Rfam family "Bacterial small subunit ribosomal RNA", at positions 338 to 795 of the family's 1533-position model. The record is from RNAcentral.